This 484-nucleotide ribosomal RNA is filed under the name uncultured bacterium. RNAcentral describes it as "partial 16S ribosomal RNA". It matches the Rfam family "Bacterial small subunit ribosomal RNA", at positions 30 to 507 of the family's 1533-position model. The record is from RNAcentral.
AUUGAACGCUGGCGGCAGGCCUAACACAUGCAAGUCGAGCGGAUGAAGGGAGCUUGCUCCUGGAUUCAGCGGCGGACGGGUGAGCAAUGCCUAGGAAUCUGCCUGGUAGUGGGGGAUAACGUCCGGAAACGGGCGCUAAUACCGCAUACGUCCUGAGGGAGAAAGUGGGGGAUCUUCGGACCUCACGCUAUCAGAUGAGCCUAGGUCGGAUUAGCUAGUUGGUGGGGUAAAGGCCUACCAAGGCGACGAUCCGUAACUGGUCUGAGAGGAUGAUCAGUCACACUGGAACUGAGACACGGUCCAGACUCCUAAGGGAGGCAGCAGUGGGGAAUAUUGGACAAUGGGCGAAAGCCUGAUCCAGCCAUGCCGCGUGUGUGAAGAAGGUCUUCGGAUUGUAAAGCACUUUAAGUUGGGAGGAAGGGCAGUAAGUUAAUACCUUGCUGUUUUGACGUUACCAACAGAAUAAGCACCGGCUAACUUCGUG